This 62-nucleotide transfer RNA is filed under the name human gut metagenome. It matches the Rfam family "tRNA", at positions 8 to 62 of the family's 71-position model. Rfam says of the family: Transfer RNA (tRNA) molecules are approximately 80 nucleotides in length. The record is from RNAcentral.
AUUGUUAGCUCAGCUGGUAGAGCAACUGACUCUUAAUCAGUGGGUCUAGGGUUCGAAUCCCU